GGAAGUCGUAACAAGGUUUCCGUAGGUGAACCUGCGGAAGGAUCAUUAAUGAGUUGUCAUGGGGUUCGAUGCUGGCAGCCAGUUUUUGGAUGCAUGUGCUUGCCCUAACAAUCAUCUUCUUCCAAACACCUGUGCACAUUUUUGAGGGAGUCUUGAGUUGGUUGCCGCUCUUGGGUGAUUUUCUCACAUUCCCUUAAAUCAUUAUACGCUAUUAACAAUGUUGAACGUGCUCUGUGCCGCAAGGCCAUUAAUAUAAUACAACUUUUAACAACGGAUCUCUUGGCUCUC
This 288-nucleotide unclassified non-coding RNA is filed under the name plant metagenome. RNAcentral describes it as "partial contains small subunit ribosomal RNA, internal transcribed spacer 1, and 5.8S ribosomal RNA". The stretch from base 1 to 48 matches the Rfam family "Eukaryotic small subunit ribosomal RNA", at positions 1784 to 1831 of the family's 1831-position model. The record is from RNAcentral.